GAAAGAAGUGAUGAUGUGUGGGUGAAUGUGGAGCACUGAAUUAGCCACAAAGGUCAUGUCAAGUUAGUCACUAAACACAGAAACACAUACACUCUUCCUUUGGUAUUGUCACUAAGGUUGGCCACAAAUAAGUGAAAUGCAAGGAAAUGAAUUAUGCAUUUUUUCAUUGAAGCAUGGAACAAGACUUGUAACUCAUGAAUAUCUAUCUCCUUUUGACCAACAAUAAAAGUAACCCUUAUCCUAUCCGACCAAAAGAGAUGUUCCCCCCACCCUUCCUUUUCAUCUUCAUUUUCCAAAUCAUUAUUUUUUAUAACCUAAUCUCAUUUUACUC
RNAcentral lists this long non-coding RNA (331 nucleotides) under Vigna radiata. RNAcentral describes it as "long non-coding RNA (VRAD_LNC014748)". Lineage: Eukaryota; Viridiplantae; Streptophyta; Magnoliopsida; Fabales; Fabaceae. The record is from RNAcentral.